UGUCGUCAGCUCGUGUCGUGAGAUGUUGGGUUAAGUCCCGUAACCGAGCGCAACCCUUGUCCUUAGUUACCAGCACGGUUAUGGUGGGCACUCUAAGGAGACUGCCGGUGACAAACCGGAGGAAGGUGGGGAUGACGUCAAGUCAUCAUGGCCCUUACGGCCUGGGCUACACACGUGCUACAAUGGUCGGUACAAAGGGUUGCCAAGCCGCGAGGUGGAGCUAAUCCCAUAAACCGAUCGUAGUCCGGAUCGCAGUCUGCAACUCGACUGCGUGAAGUCGGAAUCGCUAGUAAUCGUGAAUCAGAAUGUCACGGUGAAUACGUUCCCGGGCCUU
Molecule: ribosomal RNA, 334 nt
Filed under: uncultured Pseudomonadaceae bacterium
Lineage: Bacteria; Pseudomonadati; Pseudomonadota; Gammaproteobacteria; Pseudomonadales; Pseudomonadaceae
Description: bacterial SSU rRNA
Rfam family: Bacterial small subunit ribosomal RNA
Source: RNAcentral